AGCGAACGCUGGCGGUAGGCCUAACACAUGCAAGUCGAACGGCAGCACAGGAGAGCUUGCUCUCUGGGUGGCGAGUGGCGGACGGGUGAGGAAUACAUCGGAAUCUACUCUGUCGUGGGGGAUAACGUAGGGAAACUUACGCUAAUACCGCAUACGACCUACGGGUGAAAGCAGGGGACCUUCGGGCCUUGCGCGAUUGAAUGAGCCGAUGUCGGAUUAGCUAGUUGGCGGGGUAAAGGCCCACCAAGGCGACGAUCCGUAGCUGGUCUGAGAGGAUGAUCAGCCACACUGGAACUGAGACACGGUCCAGACUCCUACGGGAGGCAGCAGUGGGGAAUAUUGGACAAUGGGCGCAAGCCUGAUCCAGCCAUACCGCGUGGGUGAAGAAGGCCUUCGGGUUGUAAAGCCCUUUUGUUGGGAAAGAAAUCCGGCUGGCUAAUACCCGGUUGGGAUGACGGUACCCAAAGAAUAAGCACCGGCUAACUUCGUGCCAGCCGCCGCCGUAA
RNAcentral lists this ribosomal RNA (506 nucleotides) under uncultured bacterium. Its description in RNAcentral is "partial 16S ribosomal RNA". It matches the Rfam family "Bacterial small subunit ribosomal RNA", at positions 29 to 523 of the family's 1533-position model. The record is from RNAcentral.